Molecule: transfer RNA, 79 nt
Filed under: Chitinophaga sp. MD30
Lineage: Bacteria; Pseudomonadati; Bacteroidota; Chitinophagia; Chitinophagales; Chitinophagaceae
Description: tRNA-Ile
Rfam family: tRNA
About the family: Transfer RNA (tRNA) molecules are approximately 80 nucleotides in length. Their secondary structure includes four short double-helical elements and three loops (D, anti-codon, and T loops).
Source: RNAcentral
AGAUCCGUAGCUCAGCCUGGUUAGAGCACUACACUGAUAAUGUGAGGGGUCAGCAGUUCAAAUCUGCUCGGGUCUACUA